AUUGAACGCUGGCGGCAUGCUUUACACAUGCAAGUCGAACGGCAGCGCGGGCUUCGGCCUGGCGGCGAGUGGCGAACGGGUGAGUAAUACAUCGGAACGUACCCAGUAGUGGGGGAUAGC
RNAcentral lists this ribosomal RNA (120 nucleotides) under uncultured bacterium. Its description in RNAcentral is "partial 16S ribosomal RNA". It matches the Rfam family "Bacterial small subunit ribosomal RNA", at positions 30 to 147 of the family's 1533-position model. The record is from RNAcentral.